RNAcentral lists this ribosomal RNA (679 nucleotides) under uncultured archaeon. RNAcentral describes it as "bacterial SSU rRNA". It matches the Rfam family "Archaeal small subunit ribosomal RNA", at positions 127 to 804 of the family's 1478-position model. The record is from RNAcentral.
UAACCCCGGGAAACUGGGGAUAAUUCCGGAUAACGCACAUAUGCUGGAAUGCUUUAUGCGUCAAAUGGAUUCGUCCGCCCAAGGAUGGGUCUGCGGCCUAUCAGGUAGUAGUGGGUGUAAUGUACCUACUAGCCUACGACGGGUACGGGUUGUGAGAGCAAGAGCCCGGAGAUGUAUUCUGAGACAUGAAUCCAGGCCCUACGGGGCGCAGCAGGCGCGAAAACUUUACAAUGCGGGAAACCGUGAUAAGGGGACACCGAGUGCCAGCAUCAUAUGCUGGCUGUCCGGGUGUGUAAAAUACACCUGUUAGCAAGGGCCGGGCAAGACCGGUGCCAGCCGCCGCGGUAACACCGGCGGCCCGAGUGGUGAUCGUGAUUAUUGGGUCUAAAGGGUCCGUAGCCGGUUUGGUCAGUCCUCCGGGAAAUCUGACGGCUUAACCGUUAGGCUUUCGGGGGAUACUGCCAGACUUGGAACCGGGAGAGGUAAGAGGUACUACAGGGGUAGGAGUGAAAUCUUGUAAUCCCUGUGGGACCACCUGUGGCGAAGGCGUCUUACCAGAACGGGUUCGACGGUGAGGGACGAAAGCUGGGGGCACGAACCGGAUUAGAUACCCGGGUAGUCCCAGCCGUAAACGAUGCUCGCUAGGUGUCAGGCAUGGCGCGACCGUGUCUGGUGCCGC